GAUGAACGCUGGCGGCGUGCCUAAUACAUGCAAGUCGAGCGAACAGACGAGGAGCUUGCUCCUCUGACGUUAGCGGCGGACGGGUGAGUAACACGUGGAUAACCUACCUAUAAGACUGGGAUAACUUCGGGAAACCGGAGCUAAUACCGGAUAAUAUAUUGAACCGCAUGGUUCAAUAGUGAAAGACGGUUUUGCUGUCCCUUAUAGAUGGAUCCGCGCCGCAUUAGAUAGUUGGUAAGGUAACGGCUUACCAAGGCAACGAUGCGUAGCCGACCUGAGAGGGUGAUCGGCCACACUGGAACUGAGACACGGUCCAGACUCCUACGGGAGGCAGCAGUAGGGAAUCUUCCGCAAUGGGCGAAAGCCUGACGGAGCAACGCCGCGUGAGUGAUGAAGGUCUUCGGAUCGUAAAACUCUGUUAUUAGGGAAGAACAAAUGUGUAAGUAACUAUGCACGUCUUGACGGUACCUAAUCAGAAAGCCACGGCUAACUACGUG
This 497-nucleotide ribosomal RNA is filed under the name uncultured bacterium. RNAcentral describes it as "partial 16S ribosomal RNA". It matches the Rfam family "Bacterial small subunit ribosomal RNA", at positions 28 to 507 of the family's 1533-position model. The record is from RNAcentral.